Molecule: ribosomal RNA, 433 nt
Filed under: uncultured bacterium
Lineage: Bacteria
Description: partial 16S ribosomal RNA
Rfam family: Bacterial small subunit ribosomal RNA
Source: RNAcentral
AACGAACGCUGGCGGCAUGCCUAACACAUGCAAGUCGAACGAGACCUUCGGGUCUAGUGGCGCACGGGUUCGUAACGCGUGGGAACCUUCCCUUAUGUUCGGAAUAACUCCCCGAAAGGGGUGCUAAUACCGGAUAAUGUCUUCGGACCAAAGAUUUAUCGCCUUUGGAUGGGCCCGCGUUGGAUUAGCUAGUUGGUAGGGUAAAAGCCUACCAAGGCGACGAUCCAUAGCUGGUCUGAGAGGAUGAUCAGCCACACUGGGACUGAGACACGGCCCAGACUCCUACGGGAGGCAGCAGUGGGGAAUAGUGGACAAUGGGCGAAAGCCUGAUCCAGCAAUGCCGCGUGAGUGAUGAAGGCCUUAGGGUUGUAAAGCUCUUUUACCCGGGAUGAUAAUGACAGUACCGGGAGAAUAAGCCCCGGCUAACUCCGUG